Molecule: non-coding RNA, 1111 nt
Organism: Myodes glareolus (Bank vole)
Lineage: Eukaryota; Metazoa; Chordata; Mammalia; Rodentia; Cricetidae
Source: RefSeq, a predicted model, not a curated record
CUUCAGAGAUCUGCAGAAUACGGCAUUUAAAAUAAUGAUUUAAAAGCUUAUUAUAUUAGACAGAGACUUCAAGAUCCUAGCAGAAACCCAAGGUCUCCAAAGAAGAUUAUGGGACACCAUGAUGUCUCCACCUAGGUUACGACAACGCUGACCACUAGGCAAGAUGCCCCAGUGCAACACCAGCUGCCAGGACUCAGUCCAGACUGUGGGCAAACAGCAGGACCUUGGAGAAUUGAUUGCACCAAUUUUGCCUAGACAAAAUAAGUUUAAACUCAUCUCAAUAGGCUUCCACUUGGCUGGCAGAUGCUAUCUAAGCAUCAGUUGCUGACUAUAACCUGCUCUGAAUGGUGGUGAACUCUGAACUUCCUGAAAGCUGAUGUGGACCAGUCCAGCUGAUAUGAAUGCUCCCUGUCCCUUUAAUGGAGUCUGCUGACGAGAAUGAUCCAAGAAUUCACCAAGGAGAAGGGACGCUCAAUACCGGCUCAGGUGACCAUGACAAGUGGUGGGGGUGAUUUUUCUCUGCCACACAGUCAGAAACAAAGGCUCCAGCUAUCAGAUCAACUGAGAUGGGAAACUUUCAUUCAGAAGGAAAGGGAUGGCCAACGUACUCAAUAGCCUACAGAGAGGGGGAAAAACUUUGCCAGACAGACUUCAGAAAUCGAACUGAUACCUGGAAUGUAUAAAGGACUACAAAAAUUAAACACCAAAAACUACACUGCCAAUCACUAAAAGGUCCGAUGAAAUAAACAAUUCUUAAAAAAUAGUACAGAUGACCAUGAGAUGUUUUCAAAGGUGUCCACCAUCUUUGGCCCUCAGAAACAUGUAAAUUAAAACUACACUGAGACUGUCUCAUCCCAGUCAGGAUGACUGCCACCAAGAAACAUGGACAAGGAUAUAGAAAAGAGACUUUAUUCACCACAGCUGAGCGCAAACUGGGGCAGCCGCUAUGGAAAUCAGUGUAAAGCCUUCUCAAAAAACCAAAACCCGUGCUGCUGAGAGGGCUCACUGGGUCAAGCUCUUGCUGCACAAGCCUGGUGGCCUAAGUCUGAUCCCUGCUGUCACAUGAAGUCACACGGAAAGGACUCUCUCUCCUAAACCCAAAUAAUAAUGA